Molecule: ribosomal RNA, 395 nt
Filed under: uncultured bacterium
Lineage: Bacteria
Description: bacterial SSU rRNA
Rfam family: Bacterial small subunit ribosomal RNA
Source: RNAcentral
AGCGAACGUUUGCGGCGGGCUUAACACAUGCAAGUCGAACGGGCUGUUCCUUCGGGGGCAGUCAGUGGCGCACGGGUGCGUAACACGUAGGUAAUCAACCCUCUGGUUGGGGAUAACACUUCGAAAGGAGUGCUAAUACCCGGUAUGGCGCAGCGGUCUUCGGAUCGCGGCGAGAAAGACCCGCAAGGGUUGCCAGAGGACGAGCCUGCGGCCCAUCAGCUAGUUGGCGAGGUAACGGCUCACCAAGGCGAAGACGGGUAGCUGGUCUGAGAGGAUGAUCAGCCACACUGGAACUGAGACACGGUCCAGACUCCUACGGGAGGCAGCAGUGGGGAAUAUUGCGCAAUGGGCGAAAGCCUGACGCAGCCACGCCGCGUGAGCGAUGAAGGCCUGUC